GACGAACGCUGGCGGCGUGCUUAACACAUGCAAGUCGAACGGAAAGGCCCUGCUUUUGUGGGGUGCUCGAUUGGCGAACGGGUGAGUAACACGUGAGUAACCUUCCCUUUACUUUGGGAUAACUUCAGGAAACUGGGUCUAAUACCGGAUAGGAGCUCCUGCUGCAUUGUGGGGUUUGGAAAGUUUCGGCGGUUGGGUAUGGACUCGCGGCUUAUCAGCUUGUUGGUGGGGUAGUGGCUUACCAAGGCUUUGACGGGUAGCCGGCCUGAGAGGGUGACCGGCAACAUUGGGACUGAGAUAAGGAACAGAAUCCAACGGGAGGCAGCAGUGGGGAAUAUUGCACAAUGGGAGGAAGCCUGAUGCAGAAACGCAGCGUGCGGGAUGACGGCCUUCGGGUUGUAAACCGAUUUAGAAUGUGACGAAGCGUGAGUGACGGUAAUGGGUAAAGAAGCACCGGCUAACUACGUG
This 468-nucleotide ribosomal RNA is filed under the name uncultured bacterium. Its description in RNAcentral is "partial 16S ribosomal RNA". It matches the Rfam family "Bacterial small subunit ribosomal RNA", at positions 28 to 507 of the family's 1533-position model. The record is from RNAcentral.